CCUACAUGAAGCUGGAGUUACUAGUAAUCGCAGAUCAGAAUGCUGCGGUGAAUGCGUUCCCGGGUCUUGUACACACCGCCCGUCACACCACGGGAGUUGGAGACGCCCGAAGCCGAUUAUCUAACCUGUUGGAAGAAGUCGUCGAAGGUGGAAUCAAUAACUGGGGUGAAGUCGUAACAAGGUAGCCGUAUCGGAAGGUGCGGCUGGAUCACCUCCUUUCUAAGGA
RNAcentral lists this ribosomal RNA (226 nucleotides) under Clostridioides difficile. RNAcentral's name for it is "partial 16S ribosomal RNA". It matches the Rfam family "Bacterial small subunit ribosomal RNA", at positions 1315 to 1533 of the family's 1533-position model. The record is from RNAcentral. Lineage: Bacteria; Bacillati; Bacillota; Clostridia; Peptostreptococcales; Peptostreptococcaceae.